UUUGGUAAUUUUUAAAAACUUUUGGAAGGGUUUUUUUUUUCCAUUUCUUUCUCUUUUUGGGGGAGAGACUACCUACUGGUGUUUGGAUGAAGUAGUUUGGGCAGUGGGGCUUUUCUCUGGGUGGGUCUCAGCCUUUUUGUAAAGUUCUGGAUGAGAGAAAGAGUUUGGGGAACUUCCACAGUUGCUCUUCUCUGACAGUCAAAAAGCAUAUCAAGCCCCUCGACAGCAAAGAAGAAAUAAGCAAGCAUCCUCCCUUGGGUAGCCAAGGUUCAUGUCUGCUAACCACAAGCCUGCUAACCAAAUAAGAUUACUAGACAAAGAAAUGUUUUUGUGGAGGAUAAUACACAACAUGGCCAAAGGAUUGAACAGCCCAAGGAGAGAGCACCAUUUGUAUAUUCUGCAUACAAGCAUAGCCAGGACCUCAAAGGAGAGAAGACAUGUGAUGGGAACACGCCGUGAAUAGGGAAGACUCAUUGAGUUAUAAGGAAUUAUUGAAAAAAGAAAUAACUGAAUAAAAGGAUGCCGCUUCCAUGAUAUAAAGGUUGCCUUUCAGGCUAAAGCUUUGAACGCAUUAAGGAGAAACUUCAGCUCAUGGCUGCAAUGCACUCAGCUCUUAGGUGAGAUGAAGCAGUCUUUUGAUGGAACAAGAUGGCACAGGGUGUGUAUGAAAUCAGCAAUCUGAGAUGUGGUCACAGAAGUGGAAUUGUAGGCUGCUCCUUUGAAGUUUAGGAGUUUAAGAACCCUUAUUUUGAGAUGCCGGCUUUAAAGCAUCAUGCUGACCUGAAUGCUAUUUUCAUGACAUUGAUGUGUCACAGCAGACAAACAUUUUCAUGGCACUUAGAUUAUUUUUUAAGGCAUGGUUCUUACCUCAGGGAAUUUAUGGUUUCAUAGUUUCAUAAUUUCAUAGGUGUUAGGGGCUGGAAGGGGCCAUAUAGAUCAUCAGGUCCAGCCCCCCUGCACUUGGUUGAAGUUUGGCAAACCUACGAAAUGACAUGUAAUGAAAGGAUAAAGGAAAGAAGAAUGGGGAUAAAAAUAAAACCACUGUUGAGACUUUCCAAAGUUUCUGGUAGGUUUUGACAUGCAUCUUCCAUUCAUGUGGCAGCUUUGAAAAUGUCAUUAUGUUGCAUGUGGACAAUGACUUUAUUAUUAAACUGAAGCUGAGUUUAACAAAGUAGAUAAACUUACAAGUGGAGGCCAGUAAAAUAAGCUGGAAAAAGUUAAUUUGGAGAACAAGAAUUAAGACGCUUGUACAAAUGGAAACCAGUGGGGCAUAUUAUAUUGAACCUAAUGGGAGUUAUGUCAGUCCCAGAAGAAGAGGUGUUCUUUCAAGUAUGAAGUGAACAAUGUAAGAGAAGAUGGGAGGUUAUGGAAGGAAGAGAUUAAGGGCCCUAGAAAAUAGAAAUAUUCUGCAUAUGGGGCACAAGAUGGGGAACAGGUGGGAAUGGCUUGAUUGUUCAGGAGCAUAAGAUUUUUGAGGCUAACCUUGCUUUGGCUUUGAAACCUGUGCUCCAUAUCCUAAAAUAAACCUAAGUAUAUUGACAGACUGGAGCUACCACUUUCUUUGCCCAUUUCUGCUUUACUAAAGCUCAGCCAUCAUUAAAAGCAAAUUGGGAAAUGUAAAUUCAACUGCUUUGAGUUUACCAGGAAAACAAACAUAUAAAUCAAAUUAAAUAUAUUUGUUCAGGUUGGCAACGCGGUUCUUACUCUAUACAACAAGAUGCCAUUAAAGAUCCAAGUCAUGCUGA
This is a long non-coding RNA of Alligator mississippiensis (American alligator), 1745 nucleotides long. RefSeq lists it as uncharacterized. The record is from RefSeq and is a predicted model, not a curated record. The transcript is spliced from 4 exons. NCBI's taxonomy places the organism in Eukaryota, Metazoa, Chordata, Crocodylia, Alligatoridae.